This 497-nucleotide ribosomal RNA is filed under the name uncultured bacterium. RNAcentral's name for it is "partial 16S ribosomal RNA". It matches the Rfam family "Bacterial small subunit ribosomal RNA", at positions 28 to 507 of the family's 1533-position model. The record is from RNAcentral.
GAUGAACGCUGGCGGCGUGCCUAAUACAUGCAAGUCGAGCGAACAGACGAGGAGCUUGCUCCUCUGACGUUAGCGGCGGACGGGUGAGUAACACGUGUAUAACCUACCUAUAAGACUGGGAUAACUUCGGGAAACCGGAGCUAAUACCGGAUAAUAUAUUGAACCGCAUGGUUCAAUAGUGAAAGACGGUUUUGCUGUCACUUAUAGAUGGAUCCGCGCCGUAUUAGCUAGUUGGUAAGGUAACGGCUUACCAAGGCGACGAUGCGUAGCCGACCGGAGAGGGUGAUAGGCCACCCUGGAAGUGAGCCGCGGACCAGACUCCUACGGGAGGGAGCAGUAGGCAAUCGGACGCAACGGGCGAAAGCCUGGCGGAGCAACGCCGCGCGAGUGAUGAAGGUCUUCGGAUCGUAAAACUCUGUUAUUAGGGAAGAACAGAUGUGUAAGUAACUAUGCACGUCUUGACGGUACCUAAUCAGAAAGCCACGGCUAACUACGUG